This 447-nucleotide ribosomal RNA is filed under the name uncultured bacterium. Its description in RNAcentral is "partial 16S ribosomal RNA". It matches the Rfam family "Bacterial small subunit ribosomal RNA", at positions 29 to 523 of the family's 1533-position model. The record is from RNAcentral.
AGCGAACGCUGGCGGCAGGCCUAACACAUGCAAGUCGAGCGCCCAGCAAUGGGAGCGGCAGACGGGAUAGUAACACGUGGGAACGUACCUUUCAGUUCGGAACAACCAAGGGAAACUUUGGCUAAUACCGAAUACGCCCGUAAGGGGAAAGAUUUAUCGCUGAAAGAUCGGCCCGCGUCUGAUUAGCUAGUUGGUGAGGUAAUGGCUCACCAAGGCGACGAUCAGUAGCUGGUCUGAGAGGAUGAUCAGCAUCACUGGGACUGAGACACGGCCCAGACUCCUACGGGAGGCAGCAGUGGGGAAUAUUGGACAAUGGGCGCAAGCCUGAUCCAGCCAUGCCGCGUGAGUGAUGAAGGCCUUAGGGUUGUAAAGCUCUUUCGUCAGGGAAGAUAAUGACGGUACCUGAAGAAGAAGCCCCGGCUAACUUCGUGCCAGCCGCCGCGGUAA